RNAcentral lists this transfer RNA (75 nucleotides) under Rickettsiales bacterium. Its description in RNAcentral is "tRNA-Cys". It matches the Rfam family "tRNA". Rfam says of the family: Transfer RNA (tRNA) molecules are approximately 80 nucleotides in length. Their secondary structure includes four short double-helical elements and three loops (D, anti-codon, and T loops). The record is from RNAcentral. Lineage: Bacteria; Pseudomonadati; Pseudomonadota; Alphaproteobacteria; Rickettsiales.
GGUCGAGUGGCAGAGCGGUCUAAUGCGAAAGCCUGCAAAGCUUUUUUACCAUGGGUUCGAAUCCCAUCUCGGCCU